CGGACGGGUGAGUAAUGUCUGGGAAACUGCCUGAUGGAGGGGGAUAACUACUGGAAACGGUAGCUAAUACCGCAUAACGUCGCAAGACCAAAGAGGGGGACCUUCGGGUCUCUUGCCAUCGGAUGUGCCCAGAUGGGAUUAGCUAGUAGGUGGGGCAACGGCUCACCUAGGCGACGAUCCCUAGCUGGUCUGAGAGGAUGACCAGCCACACUGGAACUGAGACACGGUCCAGACUCCUACGGGAGGCAGCAUG
RNAcentral lists this ribosomal RNA (253 nucleotides) under uncultured bacterium. Its description in RNAcentral is "partial 16S ribosomal RNA". It matches the Rfam family "Bacterial small subunit ribosomal RNA", at positions 99 to 353 of the family's 1533-position model. The record is from RNAcentral.